Molecule: long non-coding RNA, 678 nt
Filed under: Carassius auratus (goldfish)
Lineage: Eukaryota; Metazoa; Chordata; Actinopteri; Cypriniformes; Cyprinidae
Description: lncRNA (ENSCARG00000062081.1)
Source: RNAcentral
CAAUAAAUGGUCACUAGGCAGUCCUAACAACCCGGCAACAUACAGAUCCAACCUCUGACUUCUAUUUUAAAGCUUCCCAGAAUACAGUUUUAUUGCUCACAGGAUGCUUUUUCAUAUCUUAGGGGGCUAGAGCUCAUUAAAUAUCAAAUUUGUUUCAGAUUUUUCUCAAUAAAUUGUUUAUGAGAAAAAAAUAUACCGGUACACAAACAAGGUAAUUGUUAAUAAAAGAAUAGACCUCUGGAAUUAAUGUGGAUAGCAAAGUAUUUGGUUUUGGGGGGAAAAUAAAUGUUUUGUGCUCAUCAGGAAGCUAUUAGUAUUGUAACUAAUUAUAUUUCAUUAAAAAUAAAACUUGUUUUAAAGACUAUGCUGCCUGUUUGACAGAACACAUCCAGUUCGGCUGGCACACAACAUCAGAGCAGAAAUGAGGUGAACUGUCAAAGCAGUACUACUGAUCCAAUUUGUGGAACCGUAGAAAAUGUAGGUAAUGCAGGAACAAGUAGCAAGGAUCAUCAGCGGCGCCAGUUUGAAUCCUUUGAACAAAGGCGAAGACAGAAAAUUGCUGAAAGGAGGGCACAUCUAUGUCAAAUUGUUGAGGCUUUGCAAUACAGUUUCAGUACCCUGAUGGCACCAGGAAAACAAGGAAAUUUGUUGAGUCUCAACCAAUUCAGGAUCUGUUUG